This 407-nucleotide long non-coding RNA is filed under the name Phoenix dactylifera (date palm). RNAcentral's name for it is "long non-coding RNA (PDAC_LNC007148)". The record is from RNAcentral. Lineage: Eukaryota; Viridiplantae; Streptophyta; Magnoliopsida; Arecales; Arecaceae.
GUUUGAGGGUGUUCAUUAUUUCCACUGGUUUUAUUUGCUCUGUGUUUAGCUUCCUGAGUCAUCAUUGAUUCUGUUUCAUUAAUUACUCGUAUCCCUUUGUCGCCUAUGCCAAGUUAACUAGUUGCUUAGUGUGACAGCACCAGGCACUCUAAUUCUGAAACAAGCAAGGAGACUUGUACACAGCUGACAAAGGGAUAAUGUUUCCUAAAUUCUUGCUCCAAGUUUUUUUUUUUGUCAUAUCACGUUCGAGAUUUUAUCAAAAUUAUAAGUAACACCUUAUCCCUACUAUGAAUCGACCCUGAUAAUAUUAAUUUAAUUGACAAAAAGAACCUUGAGUUAAGGUUCCAUCAGCAGCCCCAAAGAAGCUGUUACUAUGGGUGUCAGUGAGGACUAUUAAUUUAAGAGGG